UGGGGAAUUUUGGACAAUGGGCGAAAGCCUGAUCCAGCCAUGCCGCGUGCAGGAUGAAGGCCUUCGGGUUGUAAACUGCUUUUGUACGGAACGAAAAGCCUCUUUCUAAUAAAGAGAGGUCAUGACGGUACCGUAAGAAUAAGCACCGGCUAACUACGUGCCAGCAGCCGCGGUAAUACGUAGGGUGCAAGCGUUAAUCGGAAUUACUGGGCGUAAAGCGUGCGCAGGCGGUUUUGUAAGACAGAGGUGAAAUCCCCGGGCUCAACCUGGGAACUGCCUUUGUGACUGCAAGGCUGGAGUGCGGCAGAGGGGGAUGGAAUUCCGCGUGUAGCAGUGAAAUGCGUAGAUAUGCGGAGGAACACCGAUGGCGAAGGCAAUCCCCUGGGCCUCACUGACGCUCAUGCACGAAAGCGUGGGGAGCAAACAGGAUUAGAUACCCUGGUAGUCCACGCCCUAAACGAUGUCAACUGGUUGUUGGGUCUUCACUGACUCAGUAACGAAGCUAACGCGUGAAGUUGACCGCCUGGGGAGUACGGCCGCAAGGUUGAAACUUAAAGGAAUUGACGGGGUCAUAGCUGUUUCCU
RNAcentral lists this ribosomal RNA (584 nucleotides) under uncultured bacterium. RNAcentral's name for it is "partial 16S ribosomal RNA". It matches the Rfam family "Bacterial small subunit ribosomal RNA", at positions 355 to 1375 of the family's 1533-position model. The record is from RNAcentral.